Molecule: long non-coding RNA, 933 nt
Filed under: Oryzias javanicus (javanese ricefish)
Lineage: Eukaryota; Metazoa; Chordata; Actinopteri; Beloniformes; Adrianichthyidae
Description: lncRNA (ENSOJAG00000004112.1)
Source: RNAcentral
AAAUAACAUUACCUUUAGUUUGUAAUUAGCAUUUAAUCUAAAUUUAAAUGAUUUUCUCUAUUGAUAUAUAUGAUAAACACCAUGAGUUUCUCUUUUUGUAGAUGGAACAUGUCUUGGAUAAAAACCGUCCUCCAGGAGAUCUUGGAUGGAAUCCACCGUAAGAAUUCUUAGUCCAAUGUAAUGUAAAGAACAUAGAAUGUAACACAACAUCUGAAGAGUGUUUCUUUUUGUUAUUUCAGAUUGGGAACGCUUGUCUAAAAGUUGUGGAGGAAGCUGCACAGACGUGUAAUUUGUCAUCCUGUUACAUCUUCUCUUUGGUUCUAGACAUGAUGGUGGUUGUGUGUUCAUGUCUGUGUGUGUCUGUUUCCUUUAGGGGAAAAUGUCGACAUCGCUGAGCUUUAUGAAGGAUCCUCAAGUUUACCUACUGCUCUCCUUGCUGGUACUAUUUUGAUUGUUGUUUUUUUUUCUCCUGUGUGUACAUGUUUACUAAUUUGUAUCAAUCCCUGUAAGAAACCUUCAGGUCAGAGGUCAUGCUGAUGUUUCCAUCUUGGAGCAGACAGACAGGUCAAGCUGAUCACUACCUGCUUUGUCAGGAGGAUAGCAGCUCUGAUUUACCCUGGACCCUGGCUGGAGAACACAGGAAGAGAUCUUGAGAUCUUUCCCAAGCAGAUGUCCAGCAAUUGCUGCGGCAUUUUCAUGCUGAUGUAUGCUCUCUCCAUCUGCACAUCGUCGGAAAUGACAUUCACUGAAGGGGACAUGCCGGCAAUUCGGCUGUGGUGGUGUCUUCAGUCGAUGGAGAGAUUUUGCACUGACGGGUAUGACUGCUACUGGAAUACCAUCAUAUUCACAGUUCUCCAAACUGUGUUUAUUUGCAGUUAUGGCACAGAGCAGACAUCAGGUCACACAAAUGUUAAUGAAAGCUGUUUACUGUAG